Molecule: ribosomal RNA, 1182 nt
Filed under: Escherichia coli
Lineage: Bacteria; Pseudomonadati; Pseudomonadota; Gammaproteobacteria; Enterobacterales; Enterobacteriaceae
Description: partial 23S ribosomal RNA
Rfam family: Bacterial large subunit ribosomal RNA
Source: RNAcentral
GGGUUGUGAGGUUAAGCGACUAAGCGUACACGGUGGAUGCCCUGGCAGUCAGAGGCGAUGAAGGACGUGCUAAUCUGCGAUAAGCGUCGGUAAGGUGAUAUGAACCGUUAUAACCGGCGAUUUCCGAAUGGGGAAACCCAGUGUGAUUCGUCACACUAUCAUUAACUGAAUCCAUAGGUUAAUGAGGCGAACCGGGGGAACUGAAACAUCUAAGUACCCCGAGGAAAAGAAAUCAACCGAGAUUCCCCCAGUAGCGGCGAGCGAACGGGGAGCAGCCCAGAGCCUGAAUCAGUGUGUGUGUUAGUGGAAGCGUCUGGAAAGGCGCGCGAUACAGGGUGACAGCCCCGUACACAAAAAUGCACAUGCUGUGAGCUCGAUGAGUAGGGCGGGACACGUGGUAUCCUGUCUGAAUAUGGGGGGACCAUCCUCCAAGGCUAAAUACUCCUGACUGACCGAUAGUGAACCAGUACCGUGAGGGAAAGGCGAAAAGAACCCCGGCGAGGGGAGUGAAAAAGAACCUGAAACCGUGUACGUACAAGCAGUGGGAGCACGCUUAGGCGUGUGACUGCGUACCUUUUGUAUAAUGGGUCAGCGACUUAUAUUCUGUAGCAAGGUUAACCGAAUAGGGGAGCCGAAGGGAAACCGAGUCUUAACUGGGCGUUAAGUUGCAGGGUAUAGACCCGAAACCCGGUGAUCUAGCCAUGGGCAGGUUGAAGGUUGGGUAACACUAACUGGAGGACCGAACCGACUAAUGUUGAAAAAUUAGCGGAUGACUUGUGGCUGGGGGUGAAAGGCCAAUCAAACCGGGAGAUAGCUGGUUCUCCCCGAAAGCUAUUUAGGUAGCGCCUCGUGAAUUCAUCUCCGGGGGUAGAGCACUGUUUCGGCAAGGGGGUCAUCCCGACUUACCAACCCGAUGCAAACUACGAAUACCGGAGAAUGUUAUCACGGGAGACACACGGCGGGUGCUAACGUCCGUCGUGAAGAGGGAAACAACCCAGACCGCCAGCUAAGGUCCCAAAGUCAUGGUUAAGUGGGAAACGAUGUGGGAAGGCCCAGACAGCCAGGAUGUUGGCUUAGAAGCAGCCAUCAUUUAAAGAAAGCGUAAUAGCUCACUGGUCGAGUCGGCCUGCGCGGAAGAUGUAACGGGGCUAAACCAUGCACCGAAGCUGCGGCAGCGACGCU